UCCCUGGUGGUCCAGUAGCUAGGACUCUGCUCUCCCAAUGCAGGGAGCCCAGGUUCGAUCCCUGGUCAGGGAC
This 73-nucleotide transfer RNA is filed under the name Capra hircus (goat). It matches the Rfam family "tRNA". From Rfam's summary of the family: Transfer RNA (tRNA) molecules are approximately 80 nucleotides in length. Their secondary structure includes four short double-helical elements and three loops (D, anti-codon, and T loops). RNAcentral also lists the same sequence under 1 other name. The record is from Rfam by way of RNAcentral. Lineage: Eukaryota; Metazoa; Chordata; Mammalia; Artiodactyla; Bovidae.